Molecule: ribosomal RNA, 441 nt
Filed under: uncultured bacterium
Lineage: Bacteria
Description: partial 16S ribosomal RNA
Rfam family: Bacterial small subunit ribosomal RNA
Source: RNAcentral
CCUACGGGUGGCAGCAGUGGGGAAUAUUGGGCAAUGGGCGCAAGCCUGACCCAGCAACGCCGCGUGAAGGAAGAAGGCUUUCGGGUUGUAAACUUCUUUUGACAGGGAAGAGUAGAAGACGGUACCUGUCGAAUAAGCCACGGCUAACUACGUGCCAGCAGCCGCGGUAAUACGUAGGUGGCAAGCGUUGUCCGGAUUUACUGGGUGUAAAGGGCGUGUAGCCGGGACUGCAAGUUGGGUGUCAAAUCUACCGGCUCAACCGGUAGCCGCACUCAAAACUGCAGUUCUUGAGUGAAGUAGAGGCAGGCGGAAUUCCUAGUGUAGCGGUGAAAUGCGUAGAUAUUAGGAGGAACACCAGUGGCGAAGGCGGCCUGCUGGGCUUUUACUGACGCUGAGGCUCGAAAGUGUGGGGAGCAAACAGGAUUAGAUACCCGGGUAGUC